UGUUGUGGCUGAUGCAAAUCUUUGAGGGAAUCCAUCUUUGUGGUUGAAUGUAACUAUAUCAUUAUAUACUUGUCACAUAAAUGUCAGGGUAUUCUUUUAAAAUUUUGAUUUCUUCAUGGUGAAUUAUUGAAACUGAUGUCAAAGUCAUAUCCUUCUGCUUUGUUUCCUCUUCUACCUUUUGUUUUGGUUCUAAUUUUAUUCAAAGUGAUUCUACUUCCAUAUCACAUUACUCCUCCAUUCCCCCCCUCCCAAA
Populus euphratica (Euphrates poplar) is the source of this 253-nucleotide long non-coding RNA. RefSeq lists it as uncharacterized. The record is from RefSeq and is a predicted model, not a curated record. NCBI's taxonomy places the organism in Eukaryota, Viridiplantae, Streptophyta, Magnoliopsida, Malpighiales, Salicaceae. The transcript has 2 exons.